This 494-nucleotide ribosomal RNA is filed under the name uncultured bacterium. Its description in RNAcentral is "partial 16S ribosomal RNA". It matches the Rfam family "Bacterial small subunit ribosomal RNA", at positions 28 to 507 of the family's 1533-position model. The record is from RNAcentral.
GACGAACGCUGGCGGCGUGCCUAAUACAUGCAAGUCGAGCGGACUUAAAAAGCUUGCUUUUUAAGUUAGCGGCGGACGGGUGAGUAACACGUGGGCAACCUGCCUGUAAGACUGGGAUAACUUCGGGAAACCGGAGCUAAUACCGGAUAAUCCUUUUCUACUCAUGUAGAAAAGCUGAAAGACGGUUUACGCUGUCACUUACAGAUGGGUCCGCGGCGCAUUAGCUAGUUGGUGAGGUAACGGCUCACCAAGGCGACGAUGCGUAGCCGACCUGAGAGGGUGAUCGGCCACACUGGGACUGAGACACGGCCCAGGCUCCUACGGGAGGCAGCAGUAGGGAAUCUUCCGCAAUGGACGAAAGUCUGACGGAGCAACGCCGCGUGAGUGAUGAAGGUUUUCGGAUCGUAAAACUCUGUUGUUAGGGAAGAACAAGUACGAGAGUAACUGCUCGUACCUUGACGGUACCUAACCAGAAAGCCACGGCUAACUACGUG